RNAcentral lists this transfer RNA (75 nucleotides) under Clostridiaceae bacterium. RNAcentral describes it as "tRNA-Thr". It matches the Rfam family "tRNA". Rfam says of the family: Transfer RNA (tRNA) molecules are approximately 80 nucleotides in length. Their secondary structure includes four short double-helical elements and three loops (D, anti-codon, and T loops). Lineage: Bacteria; Bacillati; Bacillota; Clostridia; Eubacteriales; Clostridiaceae. The record is from RNAcentral. RNAcentral also lists the same sequence under 1 other name.
GCUGGUGUGGCUCAGAGGUAGAGCAGCGCACUCGUAAUGCGCAGGUCGUGGGUUCAAUUCCCACCACCAGCUCCA